This 148-nucleotide small RNA is filed under the name Pongo abelii (Sumatran orangutan). RNAcentral describes it as "Metazoan signal recognition particle RNA (ENSPPYG00000033675.1)". It matches the Rfam family "Metazoan signal recognition particle RNA". From Rfam's summary of the family: The signal recognition particle (SRP) is a universally conserved ribonucleoprotein. It is involved in the co-translational targeting of proteins to membranes. The record is from Rfam by way of RNAcentral. Lineage: Eukaryota; Metazoa; Chordata; Mammalia; Primates; Hominidae.
GCUGGGCGUGGUGGUGCACGCCUGUAGUCCCAGCUACUCAGGAGGCUGAGGCAGGAGAAUCGCUUGAACCCAGGAGGCAGAGGUUGCAGUGAGCUGAGAUCAUGCCACUGCAUUCUAGCCUGAAUGACAGAGCGAGACUCUGUCUCAG